UCAGCCACACUGGGACUGAGACACGGCCCAGACUGCUACGGGAGGCAGCGUAGGGAAUAUUGGACAAUGGGGGCAACCCUGAUCCAGCAAUGCANCGGAGUGACGAAGGCCUUAGGGUUGUAAAACUCUUUCAUCGGUGAGGAUAAUGACAGUAGCCGAAGAAGAA
This 166-nucleotide ribosomal RNA is filed under the name unidentified proteobacterium. Its description in RNAcentral is "partial 16S ribosomal RNA". It matches the Rfam family "Bacterial small subunit ribosomal RNA", at positions 304 to 489 of the family's 1533-position model. Lineage: Bacteria; Pseudomonadati; Pseudomonadota. The record is from RNAcentral.